Small nuclear RNA from Dromiciops gliroides (monito del monte), 162 nucleotides. RefSeq annotates it as U1 spliceosomal RNA. The transcript has a single exon. The record is from RefSeq and is a predicted model, not a curated record. NCBI's taxonomy places the organism in Eukaryota, Metazoa, Chordata, Mammalia, Microbiotheria, Microbiotheriidae.
AUACUUACCUGGCAGGGGUGAUCCCAUGAUCACAAAGGUGGUUUCCCCAGGGCGAGGCUUAUCCUUUGCACUCCAGAUGGGCUGACUCUCGUAAUUUCCCCAAAUGUGGGAAACUUAACUGCAUAAUUUGUGGUAGUGGGGGACUGCAUUGGCAUUCUCCCC